Molecule: ribosomal RNA, 440 nt
Filed under: uncultured bacterium
Lineage: Bacteria
Description: partial 16S ribosomal RNA
Rfam family: Bacterial small subunit ribosomal RNA
Source: RNAcentral
CCUACGGGAGGCUGCAGUGGGGAAUAUUGCACAAUGGGGGAAACCCUGAUGCAGCGACGCCGCGUGAGUGAAGAAGUAUUUCGGUAUGUAAAGCUCUAUCAGCAGGGAAGAAAAAGAUGGUAGCAGAUGAAGAAGCAGCGGCUAACUACGUGCCAGCAGCAGCGGUAAUACGUAGGGGGCAAGCGUUAUCCGGAUUUACUGGGUGUAAAGGGAGCGUAGUCGGCAGCACAAGUCUGGAGUGAAAUGCCGGGGCUUAACCCCGGAACUGCAUUGGAAACUGUGCAGCUAGAGUGCAGGAGAGGUAAGUGGAAUUCCUAGUGUAGCGGUGAAAUGCGUAGAUAUUAGGAGGAACACCAGUGGCGAAGGCGGCUUACUGGACUGUAACUGACGUUGAGGCACGAAAGCGUGGGGAGCGAACAGGAUUAGAUACCCUUGUAGUC